CGGGACACGUGGUAUCCUGUCUGAAUAUGGGGGGACCAUCCUCCAAGGCUAAAUACUCCUGACUGACCGAUAGUGAACCAGUACCGUGAGGGAAAGGCGAAAAGAACCCCGGCGAGGGGAGUGAAAAAGAACCUGAAACCGUGUACGUACAAGCAGUGGGAGCCUCUUAAUGGGGUGACUGCGUACCUUUUGUAUAAUGGGUCAGCGACUUAUAUUCUGUAGCAAGGUUAACCGAAUAGGGGAGCCGAAGGGAAACCGAGUCUUAACUGGGCGUUAAGUUGCAGGGUAUAGACCCGAAACCCGGUGAUCUAGCCAUGGGCAGGUUGAAGGUUGGGUAACACUAACUGGAGGACCGAACCGACUAAUGUUGAAAAAUUAGCGGAUGACUUGUGGCUGGGGGUGAAAGGCCAAUCAAACCGGGAGAUAGCUGGUUCUCCCCGAAAGCUAUUUAGGUAGCGCCUCGUGAAUUCAUCUCCGGGGGUAGAGCACUGUUUCGGCAAGGGGGUCAUCCCGACUUACCAACCCGAUGCAAACUGCGAAUACCGGAGAAUGUUAUCACGGGAGACACACGGCGGGUGCUAACGUCCGUCGUGAAGAGGGAAACAACCCAGACCGCCAGCUAAGGUCCCAAAGUCAUGGUUAAGUGGGAAACGAUGUGGGAAGGCCCAGACAGCCAGGAUGUUGGCUUAGAAGCAGCCAUCAUUUAAAGAAAGCGUAAUAGCUCACUGGUCGAGUCGGCCUGCGCGGAAGAUGUAACGGGGCUAAACCAUGCACCGAAGCUGCGGCAGCGACACUGUGUGUUGUUGGGUAGGGGAGCGUUCUGUAAGCCUGCGAAGGUGUGCUGUGAGGCAUGCUGGAGGUAUCAGAAGUGCGAAUGCUGACAUAAGUAACGAUAAAGCGGGUGAAAAGCCCGCUCGCCGGAAGACCAAGGGUUCCUGUCCAACGUUAAUCGGGGCAGGGUGAGUCGACCCCUAAGGCGAGGCCGAAAGGCGUAGUCGAUGGGAAACAGGUUAAUAUUCCUGUACUUGGUGUUACUGCGAAGGGGGGACGGAGAAGGCUAUGUUGGCCGGGCGACGGUUGUCCCGGUUUAAGCGUGUAGGCUGGUUUUCCAGGCAAAUCCGGAAAACCAAGGCUGAGGCGUGAUGACGAGGCACUACGGUGCUGAAGCGACAAAUGCCCUGCUUCCAGGAAAAGCCUCUAAGCAUCAGGUAACAUCAAAUCGUACCCCAAACCGACACAGGUGGUCAGGUAGAGAAUACCAAGGCGCUUGAGAGAACUCGGGUGAAGGAACUAGGCAAAAUGGUGCCGUAACUUCGGGAGAAGGCACGCUGAUAUGUAGGUGAAGCGACUUGCUCGUGGAGCUGAAAUCAGUCGAAGAUACCAGCUGGCUGCAACUGUUUAUUAAAAACACAGCACUGUGCAAACACGAAAGUGGACGUAUACGGUGUGACGCCUGCCCGGUGCCGGAAGGUUAAUUGAUGGGGUUAGCGGCAACGCGAAGCUCUUGAUCGAAGCCCCGGUAAACGGCGGCCGUAACUAUAACGGUCCUAAGGUAGCGAAAUUCCUUGUCGGGUAAGUUCCGACCUGCACGAAUGGCGUAAUGAUGGCCAGGCUGUCUCCACCCGAGACUCAGUGAAAUUGAACUCGCUGUGAAGAUGCAGUGUACCCGCGGCAAGACGGAAAGACCCCGUGAACCUUUACUAUAGCUUGACACUGAACAUUGAGCCUUGAUGUGUAGGAUAGGUGGGAGGCUUUGAAGUGUGGACGCCAGUCUGCAUGGAGCCGACCUUGAAAUACCACCCUUUAAUGUUUGAUGUUCUAACGUUGGCCCCUAAUCGGGGUUGCGGACAGUGUCUGGUGGGUAGUUUGACUGGGGCGGUCUCCUCCUAAAGAGUAACGGAGGAGCACGAAGGUUGGCUAAUCCUGGUCGGACAUCAGGAGGUUAGUGCAAUGGCAUAAGCCAGCUUGACUGCGAGCGUGACGGCGCGAGCAGGUGCGAAAGCAGGUCAUAGUGAUCCGGUGGUUCUGAAUGGAAGGGCCAUCGCUCAACGGAUAAAAGGUACUCCGGGGAUAACAGGCUGAUACCGCCCAAGAGUUCAUAUCGACGGCGGUGUUUGGCACCUCGAUGUCGGCUCAUCACAUCCUGGGGCUGAAGUAGGUCCCAAGGGUAUGGCUGUUCGCCAUUUAAAGUGGUACGCGAGCUGGGUUUAGAACGUCGUGAGACAGUUCGGUCCCUAUCUGCCGUGGGCGCUGGAGAACUGAGGGGGGCUGCUCCUAGUACGAGAGGACCGGAGUGGACGCAUCACUGGUGUUCGGGUUGUCAUGCCAAUGGCACUGCCCGGUAGCUAAAUGCGGAAGAGAUAAGUGCUGAAAGCAUCUAAGCACGAAACUUGCCCCGAGAUGAGUUCUCCCUGAGACUUAGAGUCUCCUGAAGGAACGUUGAAGACGACGACGUUGAUAGGCCGGGUGUGUAAGCGCAGCGAUGCGUUGAGCUAACCGGUACUAAUGAACCGUGAGGCUUAACCUUACAACGCCGAAG
RNAcentral lists this ribosomal RNA (2539 nucleotides) under Escherichia coli. RNAcentral describes it as "partial 23S ribosomal RNA". It matches the Rfam family "Bacterial large subunit ribosomal RNA", at positions 418 to 2925 of the family's 2925-position model. Lineage: Bacteria; Pseudomonadati; Pseudomonadota; Gammaproteobacteria; Enterobacterales; Enterobacteriaceae. The record is from RNAcentral.